AGCUGCACCAGGAGGGCUAGUUUGUGGAGCUGGGCCUCUCCAACUAUGCCGCCUGGGAGGUGGCUGAGAUCUGCACCCUCUGCAAGAGCAACGGCUGGAUCAUGCCUACCGUGUACCAGGGCAUGUACAACGUCACCACCCGGCAGGCCGAAAAGGAACUCUUCCCCUGCCUGAGGCACUUUGGACUGAGGUUCUACGCCUACAACCCUCUGGCUGGGGGCCUGCUGACCGGCAAGUACAAGUACGAGGACAAGGACGGGAAACAGCCUGCGGGCCGCUUCUUUGGGAAUAACUUGGCGGAGAUCUACAGGAAUCGGUGAGCUGGGGGUCUGCGUCAGUGCAGGAGGUAACCUGGGUCCCCUUAGCAUGACAUAGGGAGUCCCUGGGGCUGCUUUCCUGGGGCGAGGACUCCCACUGCUGCUCAGACUGAGGGCCCUGCAGUCCCACCCAUUUGA
This is a long non-coding RNA of Equus quagga, 455 nucleotides long. RefSeq lists it as uncharacterized. Lineage: Eukaryota; Metazoa; Chordata; Mammalia; Perissodactyla; Equidae. The transcript has 4 exons. The record is from RefSeq and is a predicted model, not a curated record.